This 253-nucleotide ribosomal RNA is filed under the name uncultured bacterium. Its description in RNAcentral is "partial 16S ribosomal RNA". It matches the Rfam family "Bacterial small subunit ribosomal RNA", at positions 524 to 776 of the family's 1533-position model. The record is from RNAcentral.
UACAGAGGUCUCAAGCGUUGUUCGGAUUCAUUGGGCGUAAAGGGUGUGUAGGUGGCGCGCUAAGUCGGGUGUGAAAUUUCGGAGCUUAACUCCGAAACUGCAUUCGAUACUGCCGUGCUUGAGGACUGGAGAGGAGACUGGAAUUUACGGUGUAGCGGUGAAAUGCGUAGAUAUCGUAAGGAAGACCAGUGGCGAAGGCGGGUCUCUGGGCAGUAACUGACGCUGAGGAGCGAAAGCGUGGGGAGCGAACAGG